CCUACGGGGGGCUGCAGUGAGGAAUAUUGGUCAAUGGACGAGAGUCUGAACCAGCCAAGUAGCGUGAAGGAUGACUGCCCUAUGGGUUGUAAACUUCUUUUAUAUGGGAAUAAAAUGUUCCACGUGUGGGAUUUUGUAUGUACCAUAUGAAUAAGGAUCGGCUAACUCCGUGCCAGCAGCCGCGGUAAUACGGAGGAUCCGAGCGUUAUCCGGAUUUAUUGGGUGUAAAGGGAGCGUAGGUGGAUAGUUAAGUCAGUGGUGAAAGUUUGCGGCUCAACCGUAAAAUUGCAGUUGAAACUGGCAGUCUUGAGUGCAGUAGAGGUGGGCGGAAUUCGUGGUGUAGCGGUGAAAUGCUUAGAUAUCACGAAGAACUCCGAUUGCGAAGGCAGUUCACUGGACUGCAACUGACACUGAGGCUCGAAAGUGUGGGUAUCAAACAGGAUUAGAUACCCGGGUAGUC
This 460-nucleotide ribosomal RNA is filed under the name uncultured bacterium. RNAcentral's name for it is "partial 16S ribosomal RNA". It matches the Rfam family "Bacterial small subunit ribosomal RNA", at positions 338 to 795 of the family's 1533-position model. The record is from RNAcentral.